GGGGAUCUGUCUCAGUAGGUAGAGUGUUUGCCUAGUAUGCUAGAAGCCCUGAGUAAAAACUUCAGGACCUCCC
RNAcentral lists this transfer RNA (73 nucleotides) under Mesocricetus auratus (golden hamster). It matches the Rfam family "tRNA". From Rfam's summary of the family: Transfer RNA (tRNA) molecules are approximately 80 nucleotides in length. Their secondary structure includes four short double-helical elements and three loops (D, anti-codon, and T loops). Lineage: Eukaryota; Metazoa; Chordata; Mammalia; Rodentia; Cricetidae. The record is from Rfam by way of RNAcentral.